RNAcentral lists this transfer RNA (76 nucleotides) under Sarcina ventriculi. RNAcentral describes it as "Clostridium ventriculi tRNA-Thr(ggt)". It matches the Rfam family "tRNA". From Rfam's summary of the family: Transfer RNA (tRNA) molecules are approximately 80 nucleotides in length. Their secondary structure includes four short double-helical elements and three loops (D, anti-codon, and T loops). RNAcentral also lists the same sequence under 2 other names. The record is from RNAcentral. Lineage: Bacteria; Bacillati; Bacillota; Clostridia; Eubacteriales; Clostridiaceae.
GCUCACAUAGCUCAGUCGGUAGAGCGUCGCCUUGGUAAGGCGGAGGUCGUCGGUUCAAUCCCGAUUGUGAGCUCCA